Megalobrama amblycephala (Wuchang bream) is the source of this 301-nucleotide long non-coding RNA. RefSeq lists it as uncharacterized. NCBI's taxonomy places the organism in Eukaryota, Metazoa, Chordata, Actinopteri, Cypriniformes, Xenocyprididae. The record is from RefSeq and is a predicted model, not a curated record. The transcript is spliced from 2 exons.
UGUUACUUAGGCUACCUCAGAGCCAUAGAGAGAGAGAGUUGCGACAACUCCAUAGACUCCAAUGGAACGGUUUUUUACAGCAAUGGCGGCUCGUGGAGCCUCUCAAUAGUUCCCGGAAGUAGCAGCCGCGCCGUAGAGUUACAGCAGAACAGACCGUUUGUGAUGUACUUUUAAAAGCACAAAGGGGAUUCAGAUCCUGAAGACUCCAUGCAAUGAUGCUGUCACCGCCAGUCUCUGCUCCUUGGAUUUUGCAAGCUUUUCCUUGCUCCUUAUUUUUAAUAAACCUUUAAUAAACAUAAAA